CGAACGCUGGCGGCGUGGAUUAGGCAUGCAAGUCGAGCGCGAAAGUGGCUUCGGUCACGAGUAGAGCGGCACAAGGGUGAGUAAUGCAUGAACAACCUACCCUCGAGACUGGAACAACGACUGGAAACGGUCGCUAAUGCUGGAUGGUCUCGUGGAGUGGCAUCGCACCACGAGUAAAGGUGGGGACCUUCGGGCCUGCUGCUCGGGGAGGGGUUCAUGUCCUAUCAGCUUGUUGGUGAGGUAAUGGCUCACCAAGGCAUCGACGGGUAGGCGGGCUGAGAGGCUGACCGCCCACACUGGGACUGAGACACUGCCCAGACUCCUACGGGAGGCUGCAGUCGAGAAUCUUCCGCAAUGGACGCAAGUCUGACGGAGCGACGCCGCGUGCGGGAUGAAGGGCUUUGGUUUGUAAACCGCUGUCAGGUGUUAGGAAAGCGUGCGAGUUAAUACCUCGUACGUUGACAAAGGCACCAAAGGAAGUCACGGCUAACUCU
This 494-nucleotide ribosomal RNA is filed under the name uncultured bacterium. RNAcentral describes it as "bacterial SSU rRNA". It matches the Rfam family "Bacterial small subunit ribosomal RNA", at positions 30 to 504 of the family's 1533-position model. The record is from RNAcentral.